Molecule: ribosomal RNA, 395 nt
Filed under: uncultured bacterium
Lineage: Bacteria
Description: partial 16S ribosomal RNA
Rfam family: Bacterial small subunit ribosomal RNA
Source: RNAcentral
AUACGUAGGGGGCAAGCGUUAUCCGGAUUUACUGGGUGUAAAGGGCGUGUAGGCGGAGAUGCAAGUCAGGAGUGAAAUCUAGGGGCUCAACCCCUAAACUGCUUUUGAAACUGUAUCCCUUGAGUAUCGGAGAGGCAGGCGGAAUUCCUAGUGUAGCGGUGAAAUGCGUAGAUAUUAGGAGGAACACCAGUGGCGAAGGCGGCCAGCUGGACGACAACUGACGCUGAGGCGCGAAAGCGGGGGGAGCAAACAGGAUUAGAUACCCUGGUAGUCCACGCUGUAAACGAUGAAUACUAGGUGUGGGGGGACUGACCCCCUCCGUGCCGCAGUUAACACAAUAAGUAUUCCGCCUGGGGAGUACGGCCGCAAGGUUGAAACUCAAAGGAAUUGACGGG